Molecule: ribosomal RNA, 789 nt
Filed under: uncultured bacterium
Lineage: Bacteria
Description: bacterial SSU rRNA
Rfam family: Bacterial small subunit ribosomal RNA
Source: RNAcentral
AGAGUUUGAUCCUGGCUCAGAUUGAACGCUGGCGGCAUGCCUAACACAUGCAAGUCGCACGCGAAAGGGGGCAACCCCGAGUAGAGUGGCGGACGGGUGCGUAAUACGCAGGAAUCUACCCACGAGUGGGGGACAACCCGGGGAAACCCGGGCUAAUACCGCGUGAGACCUACGGGUGAAAGCGGGGGAUCGCAAGACCUCGCGCUGGUGGAUGAGCCUGCGUCCGAUUAGCUAGUUGGUAGGGUAAAAGCCUACCAAGGCAACGAUCGGUAGCUGGUCUGAGAGGACGACCAGCCACACUGGGACUGAGACACGGCCCAGACUCCUACGGGAGGCAGCAGUGGGGAAUAUUGGACAAUGGGGGCAACCCUGAUCCAGCAAUGCCGCGUGUGUGAAGAAGGCCUUCGGGUUGUAAAGCACUUUCGAUGGGGACAAACGUGUCGGGCUUAAUACGUCCGGCCUUGAUGGUACCCAGAGAAGAAGCACCGGCUAACUCUGUGCCAGCAGCCGCGGUAAUACAGAGGGUGCAAGCGUUAAUCGGAAUUACUGGGCGUAAAGCGUGCGUAGGUGGUUGGAUAAGUCAGGUGUGAAAUCCCCGAGCUCAACUUGGGAAUUGCGCUUGAUACUGUCCGGCUAGAGUGUGGUAGAGGGUAGUGGAAUUCCGCAUGUAGCGGUGAAAUGCGUAGAUAUGCGGAGGAACAUCAGUGGCGAAGGCGGCUACCUGGACCAACACUGACACUGAGGCACGAAAGCGUGGGUAGCAAACAGGAUUAGAUACCCUGGUAGUCC